This 448-nucleotide ribosomal RNA is filed under the name uncultured organism. RNAcentral's name for it is "partial 16S ribosomal RNA". It matches the Rfam family "Bacterial small subunit ribosomal RNA", at positions 333 to 797 of the family's 1533-position model. The record is from RNAcentral.
ACACUCCUGCGGGAGGCAGCAGUGGGGAAUAUUGGACAAUGGGCGCAAGCCUGAUCCAGCCAUGCCGCGUGAGUGAUGAAGGCCCUAGGGUUGUAAAGCUCUUUCACCGGUGAAGAUAAUGACGGUAACCGGAGAAGAAGCCCCGGCUAACUUCGUGCCAGCAGCCGCGGUAAUACGAAGGGGGCUAGCGUUGUUCGGAUUUACUGGGCGUAAAGCGCACGUAGGCGGACUAUUAAGUCAGGGGUGAAAUCCCGGGGCUCAACCCCGGAACUGCCUUUGAUACUGGUAGUCUUGAGUUCGAGAGAGGUGAGUGGAAUUCCGAGUGUAGAGGUGAAAUUCGUAGAUAUUCGGAGGAACACCAGUGGCGAAGGCGGCUCACUGGCUCGAUACUGACGCUGAGGUGCGAAAGCGUGGGGGGCAAACAGGAUUAGAUACCCGAGUAGUCCCA